GAAUAUUGGACAAUGGGGGGAACCCUGAUCCAGCCAUGCCGCGUGUGUGAAGAAGGCCUUUUGGUUGUAAAGCACUUUAAGCGAGGAGGAGGCUACCGGGAUUAAUACUUUAGGAUAGUGGACGUUACUCGCAGAAUAAGCACCGGCUAACUAUGUGCACGCAGCCGCGGUAAUAAAGAUGGUGCGAGCGUUAAUCGGGUUUAAUGGGCGUAAAGCGUUCGUAGGCGGCGAAUUAAGUCAAAUGUGAAAUCCCCGGGCUUAACUUGGGAAUUGCAUUCGAUACUGGUUGGCUAGAGUAGGGGAGAGGAUGGUAGAAUUCCAGGUGUAGCGGUGAAAUGCGUAGAGAUCUGGAGGAAUACCGAUUGCGAAGGCAGCCAUCUGGCCUAAUACUGACGCUGAGGUACGAAAGCAUGGGGAGCAAACAG
This 425-nucleotide ribosomal RNA is filed under the name uncultured bacterium. RNAcentral describes it as "partial 16S ribosomal RNA". It matches the Rfam family "Bacterial small subunit ribosomal RNA", at positions 359 to 775 of the family's 1533-position model. The record is from RNAcentral.